RNAcentral lists this ribosomal RNA (533 nucleotides) under Trichoderma spirale. RNAcentral describes it as "partial small subunit ribosomal RNA". Lineage: Eukaryota; Fungi; Ascomycota; Sordariomycetes; Hypocreales; Hypocreaceae. The record is from RNAcentral.
CCACAUUACUCUUGAGGUGAAAUGCUUACACUUUCAUUUAUAGACCAAAUAAUGUUUAAUAUUUAAUUUAAAAUUAUAAUACUAAAUCUUAAUCUAACCUAUGGCAUUCAUCAUUUACUGCAAAGACUACUUGGGUAUCUAAUCCUGUUUGUGCUCUGUGCCUUCGUCCUUUAACGUCAGUUUUUACAUAGAGGGCUGCCUUCGCCUUUACCGAGUCCCUUUGGUAUCAUAGAAUUUCAUCUCUCCUCCUCAAGUACUGCCCUCUUACAUAAAACUCUAGUCAAGUACUAACAUUCUAGAAGCUAUAUUGACCGUCUAGGUACCCUUUAAACCUAAUUAAGAUGAAUAACACUAGUCUCUUACGUAUUACCGCGACUGCUGGCACGCAAUUAGUCAAGACACGAUAUAUAUACUGUCAUUAUCAAUAUAUAAACAAAGCUUUAUUCAAUUUUAAUACAAUCCUAUAGAUUAUAUUCAAAGAUAUAAUCAAAAUAGGACUUGCCACUUCUCCAAGUUGCCAGUUCAGCCGUUAG